Molecule: non-coding RNA, 24 nt
Filed under: Cricetulus griseus (Chinese hamster)
Lineage: Eukaryota; Metazoa; Chordata; Mammalia; Rodentia; Cricetidae
Source: RNAcentral
UUCCAUGUAUAUCUGCGCACCAGC